ACAAACUUGGUCAUUUAGAGGAAGUAAAAGUCGUAACAAGGUCUCCGUUGGUGAACCAGCGGAGGGAUCAUUAUAGAGUGUUUUUCAGAACCUCCAACCCUGUGUGAACAUACCUGCAGUUGCUUCGGCGGGAGCCCCGGCCGACCCUCUCGGGGGGAGGUCCGGGGCGCCAACGCCCGCCGGAGGCCCCCAAACUCUUGUUUUUUUCCUGUGGCAUUGUCUGAGUGGCGAAAGCAAAAACAAAUGAAUCAAAACUUUCAACAACGGAUCUCUUGGUUCUGGCAUUGAUGAAGAACGCAGC
RNAcentral lists this unclassified non-coding RNA (301 nucleotides) under uncultured fungus. Its description in RNAcentral is "partial contains small subunit ribosomal RNA, internal transcribed spacer 1, and 5.8S ribosomal RNA". The stretch from base 1 to 73 matches the Rfam family "Eukaryotic small subunit ribosomal RNA", at positions 1759 to 1831 of the family's 1831-position model. The record is from RNAcentral. Lineage: Eukaryota; Fungi.